UGUGCCGCAAGGUGCAUGGCAGACGGGUGAGUAACGCGUGGGGAAUCUACCUUUUUGUGGGGAAUAACGUUCCGAAAGGAAUGGUAAUACCGCAUGUGACCGUUGACUGGAAUGUUGGCGGUGAAAGCUGGGGACCGCAAGGCCUAGCGCAAGAAGAGGAUCCUGCGUCUGAUUAGCUAGUUGGUGAGGUAAUGGCCCACCAAGGCGACGAUCAGUAGCCGGCCUGAGAGGGUGAUCGGCCACACUGGAACUGAGACACGGUCCAGACUCC
Molecule: ribosomal RNA, 271 nt
Filed under: uncultured bacterium
Lineage: Bacteria
Description: partial 16S ribosomal RNA
Rfam family: Bacterial small subunit ribosomal RNA
Source: RNAcentral